AUUGAACGCUGGCGGCAUGCCUUACACAUGCAAGUCGAACGGCAGCACGGGUGCUUGCACCUGGUGGCGAGUGGCGAACGGGUGAGUAAUACAUCGGAACGUACCUUAUCGUUGGGAUAACGCAGCGAAAGCUGUGCUAAUACCGCAUACGCCCUGAGGGGGAAAGCGGGGGAUCGCAAGACCUCGCGCGAUUAGAGCGGCCGAUGCCUGAUUAGCUUGUUGGGGGGGUAAAGGCCCACCAAUGCGACGAUCAGUAGCUGGUCUGAGAGGACGAUCAGCCACACUGGGACUGAGACACGGCCCAGACUCCUACGGGAGGCAGCAGUGGGGAAUUUUGGACAAUGGGGGCAACCCUGAUCCAGCAAUGCCGCGUGAGUGAAGAAGGCCUUCGGGUUGUAAAGCUCUUUUGUCAGGGGAGAAACACCGGCUCUAACACAGUCCGGGAAUGACGGUACCUGAAGAAUAAGCACCGGCUAACUACGUGCCAGCCGCCGCCGUAA
This 500-nucleotide ribosomal RNA is filed under the name uncultured bacterium. RNAcentral describes it as "partial 16S ribosomal RNA". It matches the Rfam family "Bacterial small subunit ribosomal RNA", at positions 30 to 523 of the family's 1533-position model. The record is from RNAcentral.